GCGGACGGGAGGAUGAAGGCUGUCGCUGAUGAUGAUGAAAGAAGGGAUUGGGACGAUGAGGUCGGGCAGCAGGAUGAUGAUGAGGCUGAAGAAUUUGAGGAGCUGGAGCUUGGGCUUUCUCUGGGGCGUUGGGGAUGCAAUUCAGGGCUGACGAAUGGUGGCAGGGAUGAUGGCGGAGAGCGCGACUGUGUCCUUCCCUUCCGGUGGAGAGGGGCAUCGGGUGCUCAUGGUUUUAUGAGAGGCAGUCAGCUACAAGGCAUUUCAUCGCAAGAUAAACAAAUUUGAGGACAUGGGGUGAGGAACUGGUGGGUGCGGUAGCUAUUGCCUCAGGAAAGAGAUGUUAGCUUGCCAGAUGAAGCAGUUUUCGAGAUGGAGAGAACUGGAUCAGAUAUAGACAGGGAUACUCAGCUCGAGCGGCCUAAAGUAUUUGCUUCCCCAAAGUAAGUUCUUGUUUUGUGUUAUCCUUGCCAUCUAACCCCUGUCAUGAUUUCCAUGUUUGAGUCGUCAAAAGUAAUAUAUUUCAUAAGUUGGUGCAUUCGUUUCGAAAGGUCUGUAUUUGCUACUAUGAUCUUUUCAUGCAAAUGCUUUUCAUGAAAAUUCUAAGACGAUUGAUUUGGUAAUUACUGUAUGGAUUCAAAUACUUGCAACAUUCCGACCACACCAUAAUGAUAUAAUACUUGUAUACCAAUGUACCAAUGAUAUUGGUUGGUACCGACACACUGAAUAUUUUCUGUAAUUUUAUGGUGUACGAGGCACACCAUAUUUUGAGACUCUUCUAUCUAUAGGUACCAAUAUUGGUAUUUUGAGCCGGGAGACCACUUUUCCAAACAUCUAAGCUAGUGGGAAAGCUCCAAGCUUAUUUAUAAGCUUAAACAUCCCUUUCAUGUAUAUGCCAGAUGAAAGAUUGUUGGACUUAGCAUGUUAAUGCGAUUUAGGAUACAAACUCAUGAUUUGCUUUGAUACCAUGCUAAUACAAGUAGUUGGAUGUACUGCCACUUUUCCAAUAGCUUAGAUUAGUUCGGAAGGAGCUAAUUUAUAUUAUAUAAGCCCCACAAUGUGCACCCUUAUAACUAGGAAAUUAGAAUAUCUAGGGAAAUCAAUACACUUGACAAAGGGCAAAAUUGAGAAGUGGUUUUACUAAAAAAAUGAGAUAACAAAAAAUAGAAUUUCUUAGUAUGUUUUGGGCAUUACAAGUAGAUUUUCUUUGUAGUACCCAAUUGAGUGGGAAGGGAGUCCGAGUUGGAGGUGUUAUAUGGCACAUAUGAAGACCAAAGAAGUUUUUGAGUAAUUCGGGAAAAGGUGUUGCCCACUCUGAUUAAAGGAAUGAUCCCUAUUCUAAGCAGAAUGUCUGACAAAGUUUUUUAAUUACUUUCAGGUUUUAGAAUUAUUAAAGAUCUUUGUUAAAUUAAACUGACAAUGUUUAUGAUGUAAUGCAUAUGAUGGAAUUUCCAGAUACUUGAACAUAAACUCGUGUUGCCUAGUUAAUUGAGUUUCAUGUGUGUUUCUUGGUCAUUGUCCCAGCAAUUGAGAUUUCAACCCUUUAAGAAGUUUCUCUAUCACAACCUAUUCCUCAUUUACUUCGUUGAUGCUGUUUUGAAUCUUAUACAGCCCAAGCAUGAUGACUUGAAGGGAACAGAUUAAUUCUUUUCUCUCAGAAGAAAUUUCUCAGAAGUCUUCAAGUUUCAGAGGUCCAAUAUGCAUACCCUUCUGUACCGUAAGACUUCAGGUCCUCAAACCAGAGACUCUCUUGAGUUUCUUCUCUAUUGGCAUUUCCAUGCAUGGUGAACCAACCAGAAAAAUGAAUCAUAUCCCACAAGAAGGAAUUUGUCGUCACCACAAAUCAUUUUUUCAUUGUCUUCAAGAACUUCUUUUGUUGGAGAAUCGCUGCUAUUUGCAGCUUGAAUAGAGAACAAACUAUAAGGCAACGUGGGCUUGAUUAUUUGGUUUUUGUGCUCGACAAAAUCAUGGGUUAGUCACUUUCGACAAUGCUUUAGUUGUCACUCUUUAUGGAGACAUGUUAUUGUUGCAUCUUCCUCCGAGAUGCUUAAACUUACAUUAGUUGUGACUCUUCUUCUUAUCUUGCAAUUUCCACAAUGAACCACAGCCUCUUCUUGAUUUUGAAGUCUACAUCAUCUUACCAUCCAAUCCCAUAGUAGGUACUUAUCAAUUUUACCUCUCCAUGCUAAUCAUUAUUAGUUUUAUUUAUAGGCAAUUUGGAUCUUGUAGACUUAAAUACAGUGAACUUUGCUAUCUAAGCUGAAAUAAUACUGAAUGGCAUAGCAGCUCUUUGGUCAAAGCAGAGUUCCAGGCAGGAGAUUGCUCCGACAUGGGCAAGAUCACUCUAAAGGAGCUUCUCAGAUUAGAUAUAUCCUCUCUGCAUAAUAUUGUUUUUUUUUUGUACCCUUUCCGUUUACAAAUAAAUUAUAGACCAUUUGCAGGCUUUGAAGGCAUCUUUCAACACUUUUGCUGAAAGCGAUCUUUCCUAAUCGACCAUACACUUUAUGCAGAGUCAUAAUCAGUAAUUCAUGUCUUGUUUCUGUGGUCAACACCCUGCGAGUCAUGUGAGUGGCUUGCUGUCAAUUGGCAUUGACGAAUUUUUUUUAAUAUAAAAUUAACUAUUACUUAUUAAAAAACUAUAUGCAUAUUCGGAUUGUAUGCUGCGAGGAGAUGUGCUUCGAUAUUUAUAUUUCUCGAAACAUGAAGAAAUUUAAAUACUUUGACUUUCCUUUGAUAUGGAUUUUGUAAUAAUGAUAUAAGUGUCAAGUUUGCCUUAUCGAUAUAAUUUGUAUAUAUUUUUUGAGUUUGAGCGUAUUUGAAUAUUUUGGAUUCCAAGAGAAUAAGUUUUAAGAAAGUCUUUAGUCGAAGUUGUCGGUAGCACGACGACAAGCUCCAAUAGUAAUUAUCAUUCUUCUAUCUAAAAUUUUGUAAAUCUCAAAUUAGACGUAAAAGCUUUUAUUAUAAUUAGUAAUAUAGUUAAAAUUAUGAGACAGUAAUGAAUAGUUUAAAUUAGUAUUAGUAGUCAUCCCCUCAAUAAUGUUUCUAUAAAGAAAUAAAUUAGAUGCGAUAGUGAAGUAGCAAUGAAGCUGAGAAUGGUUGUAGGGAAUUAGAAGAAGAAAUCUCAAGAAAUAGGAAGAUGAUCUCAAAACAUAUUUCAAAAAAAUAUUUUAAUUUUUAGGUAAACAUUUAAAUCGCACGUCAAUAUUCCUCUUCCUUCAAUUCCUUCUUUUUUCGAUAAUUGAUAAGUGUUUUUAGAGUACACGAUAGCCGAUUAUAAGUGUAGAACCGAACUCUCGACUUUAAAAAAUAGAAUUGAAGUAGUUGAAUCUUAUAUAUAAUGAUAGAGGUAAAGGUACCAUUACCUAAAUUUUUUAUUUUUUUCUUUCGUACAACUUUAUUGCCCAUCUAAUUCAUUCCUAUGCGCCUUUAAUCUCGUAUCGAUAAAACCAGUUGUUUAAUGAAAUUUUUAUCACCAAUCUAAUUCAUUUCUUACCCUUUAUCGAUAAUUUUUAUCACCAAGCUUUGUCAUUUGAAAUAAAAAUCCAACGAUCGAGUUGCUUGUAAUAUGAAUUUUUUUUUUUUUAACAAGGAUUGGAUGAAAACAAUCUUAUUGUGUUAAGGAAUUCUAGAAUGAUUUUUAAAGAAGUUAGAUAUCAAAAAGUAGGUAUUUAAGGUGUUUGGAUUGAUAUAUAUUAGCAAUUCAUAGUUCUUAGAGGCAAAGAUAUUUGAUCCUAUAGUCAUCUACUUUUUGAUACCUAAUUUGGGGUUGCCAAAUAAGAGAAAAUAAAAGCUUCCAAUUAGCAAAUGAUUGAGUGUUUUAUUUUAAAUCUCAAGAGUUAUCUUAUCAUUAUUAUUAAUAAGGAUUUUGUCCUAUGAAAUGAAUACAUUUUUGACAGUGUGAUGCUGAAUACCCAAACCAUCAUUUUAUUAUUUUAAUUAUUAUUCUAAAAAAACUAUUUGGAUAUUAUUGAGAAUCUGUUUAGACAUUUCAUGUUCAUAAGAAAAUGAAUAAGAAUCGAAUUAACAGCAGAAUUGAUCUUUGACUGAGAGAUGAGACAACAUUUUGGCAAAUAAAAUUCUGAUUUAAUCUGUAUCAAUGUUCCACUGAGUUUACUUACACAUGCCCGCCCACAACUUACAUAGAUCUUCCAUCGAGCACCUAUAGAUUGAGAUUCUAAUACAAUAUCUCUUUGUCAACGUUGGUCAACGGACGUUCUACAGUUGUCAACGCAGGUCGACGGACGCACUGAGGAUGCAGAUCAAAGUCACACAGGCUGCACCUGCAAUGAAUUCCUCGCACCGGCAACUGGCAACCGUCGCAGAAUCUUUGGCCAAACGGGUGGGGCGUCGACUGCGGCGACAGCCGGUAAUGCAAGCACAGUUCUUGUGGAGGUCGAAGUCGCUGGCGUCGCAGCGGUAGUGGGAGCCGAAGCCGGGGCACCGACAGCAUCCGGAACAAGGGUCGCUUCGGCCCUGUCCAUCGCUCUAGCUCUUCGCGCCCGGGAAGGAGAAGAGAUCACAGGUAUUUAUAGACUCGGGAGAGGGAAGCAGCAAAGCAAGCACGUUUAUCGAAUUCAUUUAUUGCGACGCCGCUGAUGUCAAUGGCGGCGUUGACUUUUUUUUUCGGCAGUGAAUGCGUCUCUUGACUUGGACGUCGUCUUCGCGUGGAACACGUCGGUCACCUCAGCUGGACUUCUGAUCUCGGACUAUAUUCUUCUGAUUCAUCGAAUCAUAUUUCUCAUGCUUUAUCUAAAAACGGACGAGCAAACAAGUGUUUUUUGGAUUCCUAAAUGAAUGAUAUGAUGAGCAUCGGAUGAUAUCUCCCAAGAACAGACGAAUUCAUUCAUUGAGAGCCACCGAUGUCAGUGACGGCGUUGACAUUUUGGUCGUCGUCUUCGCUGGAACUCGUCGUUCAUCUCAUGUUAGCUUUUGAUCUCAGACUAUCUUCCGAUUUCAUCAAAUCAUAAUAAUAUUUCUCAUGCUUAAUCCAAAACGGAGGAGCUCACAAGUGUUUGUAGGAUUCCUAAAUUAAUGAUAUAUUAAUUUAUUUGUUUAUUUGAAGGUAGACCGACCUCCUUCGCCUCGGGAUCAUAUCUUCCCUGCUUCGACUAGAUCGGGCAACUCCUAAUUCUAUCUUGCUCUGCCCCCCACGUGUCAGCUUAGGUAGACCCAAUCGGGGACGGUUGGGGAGACAGGGAAGCAGGAACGGGAUGGUGGAGCCCGCAUCUUCCGCCGAAUCGGGAAGGGCGGUUCCGUGUUUGGUAAACUGAUCGGUCCACUCAACAAAUGUUGGAUCCCUUCCGCUACAUCCUCACAGUUAAUGAAUUAUAUACUUCUUAAAAGGGAAUAAAAAGAGAAGAAAAGAAAAAGAAAAGGACGCGAGAGCGAAGGAAGCGAAGCGGCGAGAAAAUCGAAGAGGGGGAAGAAGAGAGAACUAAUUCGCAGCUAUAUAUAUGUAUUAAAUAUAUGUAAUCGUAAUUUCCGAUCCACUUUCCUUCCGCUCGAGCGGCCUCGACGACACAAGGAACUCGUAUCAAACCGCUGCGGACUUCCUCUGAUUUUUCCAAGGUAGAAACCCUAAUUUUCUUGCGCGAAAUCGAGAAAGAUUUCGUCUUCCGAUCGUUUUGAUGAAGUAAAGGUUCUUGGGAGUUAAAAGAUCGGUCUUUUUAAACGAUUUUCUUAGUGUUAUCUGAAUGCUCGAGAUCGAGAAAGAUCGCGCCGUUCCGUCGUGUUGAUUGACACUAAGGUUCUUGGGAGGAAAAAGAUCGCUUUUUUUUUUGACGAUUUUUUCGUGCUUUUUUGUUUUUUUGAGGGCGUUUUGAUUUCAGGGCUCCGAUCCAUUGGGAUUCAAGUGUGGGGUUAGGGUUUGCUGGUACUUGGACCCAAGGCUGGAAUUAGGUUUCUCUUCGUGCGCUAAUUUUUUUCUUUUUCGUGGUAGUCUUUGGAUUUUGACUAGGGUUAGGGUUUUCCUUCGGCACGACUGCUUGAGGGCCUACGUGCCGUUGCGGGAUGGCGGACGGUAGGAUGAAGGCUGUCGCUGAUGAUGAUGAAAGAAGGGAUGGGGACGAUGAGGUCGGGCGGCAGGAUGAUGACGAGGCUGAAGAAUUUGAGGAGCUGGAGCUUGGACUUUCUCUGGGGCGUUGGGGAUGGAAUUCAGGGCUGACGAAUGGUGGCAGGGAUGAUGGCGGAGAGCGCGAUUGUGUCCUUCCGGUGGAGAGGGGCAUCGGG
This 6225-nucleotide long non-coding RNA is filed under the name Musa acuminata (dwarf banana). Its description in RNAcentral is "long non-coding RNA (MACU_LNC003885)". Lineage: Eukaryota; Viridiplantae; Streptophyta; Magnoliopsida; Zingiberales; Musaceae. The record is from RNAcentral.